Long non-coding RNA from Megalopta genalis, 708 nucleotides. RefSeq lists it as uncharacterized. NCBI's taxonomy places the organism in Eukaryota, Metazoa, Arthropoda, Insecta, Hymenoptera, Halictidae. The record is from RefSeq and is a predicted model, not a curated record.
UUAUUCAAUUGUUUGUAAUAAGCGCCCAUAAGCACAAAAUGUCCGAGUAGAUAAGAUCGAAUGUGGAAUACAAUCGAAGAGCUGCGAUUAUCGAAGGCCUUCGCGGACUGAAAUUAUUCGGUUCUUUGGAUACUCGGAUCGAUCGUCCAUGAUGUGCGGCUAAAUAUUUUAUUUCAGAGACAUCCGAAAAAGAAUCUGCCAAUCCAACGAGAAAGAACCAUUCGAAAGAAAUGCCAAUUAAUUUAUACCCUAAGCGUCGUUUCCAGUGAGGGUCACGUUAUGCCACCACAUUUCUUUCAAAAGAAAGAAACCGUCAUCAAAGAGGAUGAUGCGCCAGCACACAUGAGUCACUAAAUUCAGGACUGACUGUCGGAUAAUGUUUUGGUCCAAGAAAUUCUGGCUUCCGAACAGUCUAGAUUUGAAUCCGUUGGACUACUAUAUGUGGAGUGUCAUUAAAUGAGUAAUCAACAAGUCGAGACAUCCUAACGUGACAUUUCUUCAGACCAUCAUCGAAGUGGCAGUCGCCAAUAUGGACCAAGACGCGCUACAACGAACGUGCCAGCAUUUCAGGCUGAGUAUUGAAGUCGUCAUUGAAGCAAAAGGGAGUUACAUAAAGUAACUGUAUUCUAAAAGGAUAUCACUAGUGAUGUACAAACAGCUUUUUGUAAUUCUUAAAAUUUGAAGAAUAUAGACUUUUGUUUAAAUGAA